RNAcentral lists this ribosomal RNA (253 nucleotides) under uncultured bacterium. RNAcentral's name for it is "partial 16S ribosomal RNA". It matches the Rfam family "Bacterial small subunit ribosomal RNA", at positions 524 to 776 of the family's 1533-position model. The record is from RNAcentral.
UACGUAGGGUGCAAGCGUUGUCCGGAAUUACUGGGCGUAAAGGGCGCGUAGGCGGCCUGCUAAGUCGAACGUGAAAUCCCUGGGCUCAACCCAGGAACUGCGUCCGAUACUGGUUGGCUUGUAUCCGGGAGAGGGAUGUGGAAUUCCAGGUGUAGCGGUGAAAUGCGUAGAUAUCUGGAGGAACACCGGUGGCGAAGGCGACAUCCUGGACCGGUAUUGACGCUGAGGCGCGAAAGCCAGGGGAGCAAACGGG